This 403-nucleotide ribosomal RNA is filed under the name uncultured bacterium. RNAcentral describes it as "bacterial SSU rRNA". It matches the Rfam family "Bacterial small subunit ribosomal RNA", at positions 355 to 774 of the family's 1533-position model. The record is from RNAcentral.
UGAGGAAUAUUGCUCAAUGGGCGAAAGCCUGAAGCAGCAACGCCGCGUGCGCGAUGAAGGUCUUCGGAUCGUAAAGCGCUUUUGAGAGGGACGAGAUAGGACGGUACCUCUUGAAUAAGUCACGGCUAACUACGUGCCAGCAGCCGCGGUAAAACGUAGGUGGCAAGCGUUAUCCGGAUUCACUGGGCGUAAAGCGCGUGCAGGUGGCUUCGUAAGUUGGACGUUAAAUCUUUCGGCCUAACCGGGAGGUGUCGUUCAAUACUGCGGGGCUUGAGGGUAGAAGAGGGGGGUGGAAUUGCCGGUGUAGUGGUGAAAUGCGUAGAUAUCGGCAGGAACACCGGUGGCGAAAGCGGCCCCCUGGUCUGCUCCUGACACUCAGACGCGAAAGCUAGGGGAGUGAACG